This 1786-nucleotide unclassified non-coding RNA is filed under the name Chelonus insularis. RNAcentral describes it as "glycine receptor subunit alpha-2, transcript variant X1". Lineage: Eukaryota; Metazoa; Arthropoda; Insecta; Hymenoptera; Braconidae. The record is from RNAcentral.
GUCGCCCAAUGUAUCUCCUCGGCACUGGUAUCCAGUUCUAAUAAAUUCAUCAGUACCAGAGGAGAAAUUAAUCAAUUUUUGUUUUUAGAUUUGAAGCAAAUAUUUAAAUAUAAACAAGAAAGUGUAAUGAAGAAAUUGAAUAAAAUGUGUUAAAGAAGCUUAGAAAAAGAACUGGGUGAUGAUAAGGAUGUGGAAACGUGGUAUUUCAGCUGUUCUCAAUUUUUGUUUUAUUCUUCAGCUGAUUCUUCUAGGCUUCCUCAUCAACGAUGCGUACGCUCAGAGAAGUCUGGAAUUUUAUGAUCUUCUUCCUGAAGACCCUAAACUCUAUGAUAAGAUGAGACCACCAAAGAAAGAUGGACAAGCUACUGUUGUGUAUUUUCAUGUCACAGUUAUGGGUCUUGAUUCUAUUGACGAAACGUCAAUGACAUAUGCAGCAGAUAUUUUUUUCGCUCAAACGUGGAAGGAUAAUAGACUUCGACUUCCUGAAAAUAUGACUUCUGAAUACAGAUUGUUAGAAGUAGAUUGGCUAAAAAAUAUGUGGAGACCAGAUUCGUUUUUCAAAAAUGCUAAAUCAGUGACUUUUCAAACGAUGACGAUACCAAAUCACUAUCUUUGGCUUUACAAAGACAAAACCAUCCUUUACAUGGUCAAGCUGACAUUGAAACUAUCAUGUGCUAUGAAUUUCCUAAUCUACCCUCACGACACUCAGGAAUGUAAACUACAGAUGGAAAGCCUUUCGCACACGACGGAUGAAAUGAUAUUCCAAUGGGAUCCAGAUGUACCUCUUGUUGUUGAUGAGAACAUUGAGUUACCACAAUUGCAGCUUGUUAAGAAUUAUACUGCUGAUUGUACUCAAGUUUACUCUACAGGUAAUUUCACAUGCCUGGAGGUGAUUUUCGUACUCAAACGACGUCUUGGUUAUUAUCUUUUCCACACUUAUGUUCCUACAUGUUUAAUUGUCAUCAUGUCUUGGGUAUCAUUUUGGAUCAAACCAGAAGCAGCACCAGCACGAGUGACUUUGGGAGUCACAUCUUUACUGACUUUAUCAACGCAGCAUGCAAAAAGCCAGGCAUCAUUACCUCCAGUGUCAUAUCUAAAAGCAGUGGAUGCUUUCAUGUCGGUUUGUACAAUUUUUGUGUUCAUGGCUUUGAUGGAAUACUGUCUAGUCAACAUUGUUUUGGGUGACUCUGAUGCUCCUGCACCCAAACCACCACCUCCACCACCAGCUACGACUUCCACUGGUCCUGGGGAUUCAACUAAACUUGAUAAGAUUUUUGAUAUUGCUUCCAAGGAGAAUGCAAUGUUGCUAUCGGGUCGUUCGCAGAAAUCUGCAAAUCUACCUCCACCAGGUCCUACGCCUGCUCAACGAGCAAGACUUCGAGCUCUCAACAUCGAUCGAACCUCACGAGUGUUCUUUCCGUUUCUUUUUGCAGUACUCAAUGUAACAUACUGGAUAAUGUUUGCUGAAUAUAUCUAAAAAAGGCGAGGCACUACCAACGUCUUCAAUAGUCUCGCCAUUGCCGUCCGAACUCCUUUGACGUUUACCUUACUGUUAACGUUGCUAUCUACGCUUAUUUUAUUCUUUUAAAUUAAAUAUGUUAAUUAGAAAUGCGAUCAGCUUUAUCAGUUGUUGGACAAUUUUCUAGUAUUCUCCAUCUACAUUUUCAUCUGCUUCAUACCAAACUUGAGCUUCUGCUUUCUCUUAUCUUCUUUCUUUUUAUAUUAUAAUAAAUAAUAAAAUAAAUUCAUGUGAAAAAUAAGAUAAAAUUUAAGAAAUUAAUAUUAA